RNAcentral lists this ribosomal RNA (292 nucleotides) under uncultured eukaryote. RNAcentral describes it as "partial 18S ribosomal RNA". It matches the Rfam family "Eukaryotic small subunit ribosomal RNA", at positions 6 to 296 of the family's 1831-position model. The record is from RNAcentral.
GGUUGAUCCUGCCAGUAGUCAUAUGCUUGUCUCAAAGAUUAAGCCAUGCAUGUCUAAGUAUAAACAAGUCUAUACUGUGAAACUGCGAAUGGCUCAUUAUAACAGUUAUAGUUUAUUUGAUAGUUAUUACUACUUGGAUAACCGUGGUAAUUCUAGAGCUAAUACAUGCGUCAAACACCCGCAUCGAGGGUGGUAUUUAUUAGAUUCAAAACCAAUGCAGGCUUCGGCCUGGUGCCUUGGUGAGUCAUAAUAACUGUGCGAAUCGAAGUGGCCUUUGUGUCGUCGAUGAUUC